Phalaenopsis equestris is the source of this 2050-nucleotide RNA transcript. It is a transcript of the gene named cyclin-L1-1-like, with no coding region annotated. The record is from RefSeq and is a predicted model, not a curated record. The transcript has 9 exons. Lineage: Eukaryota; Viridiplantae; Streptophyta; Magnoliopsida; Asparagales; Orchidaceae.
GACGCAAGCCUGCGCUGAAAACGUUCGGGAUCGGCCCCCUCUUCCCCUUUCGAGGCUUCUCCUCUCAAAAUCGCGAAAGGCUUGCUGCGGCGAGAGCUUAGGGUUCGUUGUUUGUGUUGGUUCUCUUAUCUCUACUUCUAUAUGUAUUCAAUAUAGUCUCUUUGUUCUCGGCGAGUCGGCGUUGGCUCGACUGCUCGGUAUUCUUGCUUGGUCGCUUGAUACCAAACAGGGGUUGGCUCGACUGCUCGGUAUUAUCUUGCUACCAACAGCCGCUUACCUGAUUUAGCCACCACAGAACUACCUGGUUUCAUUUCUUCAUUGAUUUCCUUUUGACUGGAGCAAAGUUCGUCCCCUUUCUUCCUGUUGGUUUCAGCAGCAAUAGGAUAUUUGGUUUGGUCAGAUCCGUCUAUUCUUUCGUAAUGAUCUAUACUGCAAUCGAUAACUUCUACCUCACUGAUGAAGAUCUGAAAAAUUCUCCUUCGAGGAAAGAUGACAUUCAAGAGGACACGGAGAUAAUGUUACGCAUCUACGGGUGCGAUCUCAUUCAGGAGAGCGGCAUUCUUCUCAGAUUACCUCAAGCAGUCAUGGCCACAGGGCAGGUCCUUUUCCACCGGUUCUACUGCAAAAAGUCUUUUGCGCGCUUCAGUGUGAAGAGGGUAGCAGCUAGCUGUGUUUGGUUGGCUUCGAAGCUCGAAGAGAGCCCUAGAAAAGCAAAGUAUAUUCUUAUGGUCUUUCACCGGAUGGAGUGUAGAAGAGAGGGUUUACCGAUAGAGCAUCUUGAUGUCAUGUCCAAGAAAUACUCAGACUUGAAGAACGAUUUAAUUAGAACGGAGAGACAUUUGCUGAAGGAGAUGGGUUUUAUCUGCCAUGUAGAACAUCCUCACAAGUUCAUAUCCAAUUACCUAGCAACACUUGGAGCUCCUCUUGAACUUAGGCAGGAAGCUUGGAACCUUGCAAAUGAUAGUUUGAGAACAACUUUGUGCGUUCGCUUUAAGAGUGAAGUCGUAGCUUGCGGGGUAGUAUACGCUGCAGCACGUAGGUUCCAGGUUCCUCUCCCGGAAAAUCCACCUUGGUGGCUUGUAUUCGAUGCCGAUCAAUCUGGAAUUCAGGAAGUUUGUAGAGUGCUCGCUCAUCUCUACAGUCUCCCCAAGGCAAAAUAUGUCCCAGUGUAUAAAGAUAUCGAUUCUUUUACAUCAAUUAGCCGAGUGCCAAACUCACAAUCUCAUGUUUCCAAGGAAAACUCUUUUAACGGUAAUGCUAAUGACUCUAGCCCUCCUAAGUCAGUAAAUAGUCAGGAUGGUAGCUGCUUUAAAGAUUCAAUAAUAAAAGCAGCUCUAGAUAAGUUGAAAGAAUCCAAGAAGAGCGAUGAGGAUGGUAAAACAGUGCCUGAUACUAAAGAGGAGGAGACUGAAAGUUUAAGGAGUGAGCUUAAAUCGGAUCGUAAUGGGGAGAAGAAUCGUGAAAGAGAUCGAGAAAGGUUGAGAGCGAGAGAACGGGAUCGUGACAGCAGGGGUAGGGACUCAGAUCGUGAGAGUAGGGGCAGGGACUCGGACCGGGAGAAGGAGAGGAGUCAUCGCUCUAAAGACAAAAGCUCAGGGAAUUCAGAUAAACCAAGGCAUCAUUCGUCCCGCGAUAGAAGUGAGUAUCACAGUUCGCACUCCUCCAGAGACAAGGAUCGUCACAGGCAUCAUAGUACAUACUCCUGAAGUUGAAGUUUUGCUCCACUUGAAGGCUUCUGUAUUAUUAGAAUUUGGCAGCUAUAAAGGAUAAGAAGGUCUCCACAAUGGGUUCACUCAGGAAAGCUGUUCAAAGAGCUCUCGACCAACCGAGGGAAUUUCAGCCUACCGAAUGACGAUCAACUGACUAGGUUGUACAGUUACAAAUACAAAGCGGUGCCAACAAUAAUUUUGAAUACGAAGCGGUGCGAACGAUGGUGAUCAAGACCAAAAGAUCCAAAAAUCAGUUACAAAUAGGUAAACGUGUAAUGGUUAAUAAAUCACAUGUAACGUUCCUAUUUAAUUAGAGACAAAACAUGUUAUUUACCAGGCUU